This is a long non-coding RNA of Phasianus colchicus (ring-necked pheasant), 690 nucleotides long. RefSeq lists it as uncharacterized. The record is from RefSeq and is a predicted model, not a curated record. Lineage: Eukaryota; Metazoa; Chordata; Aves; Galliformes; Phasianidae.
UGAACUGUGCCUUUGUCACAGUUUACAUAGGAAGGUUAGGGCAUUAACUACAUAUAGAAAAUUGAUAUGAAGGAGAGGGAUAAAGAUCCUUUUUAACUGAUUUCUGUGUUUUAUACUGAUUCACAAUAUGAUGUGGACCUCAAAUAAUUCCUAACCUCUUCCUAUAAAAUCAGAAGACCGUUAAACUCAUAAGUUUCCACAGCUAUGUCAAGACUAAGUAUUAUGAUUAAAAGAUUAAAAGCCCUUUGACUUUUCAGGAAAACCAACUGAAGCAGGACUGAACCAACAGGGGAAGCAUUCAGCCCCAUUCCAAAUGCCCACUGGGAAUUGACAGAGCUUCAUCAAAAGGGACAGAGAAGGGAAGACUCUUUUUGAAGAGAUAACAUGGACUCAGUACAGUUGGCCUGUUCAAAAGAGGCUGCCGUCAAGGCCCUUCUCCUUUCUUGUUUACAUGUGUGUAAGCAGUACGUCAGGAAUGGCCAGAGCACGUCCACCCAUAGGCCCUCUGAAGAACAAGCUGCUUUUCCAAAAUCCCUGCAGGAAGUUGACUCAGGGCUUGACUCUGUCCUCAGAUGCACACAGAAAUAGCAGAAAUCUUCAAGCAGGUACUCCAAGCAUUGCUGAGCUCUGAGGACUGAACUGCUGCUGACGAAAAGAAGGACUGGGGAUUUUUUCUUGCACAAAGGGUCC